Molecule: transfer RNA, 77 nt
Filed under: Methanobacteriota archaeon
Lineage: Archaea; Methanobacteriati; Methanobacteriota
Also listed under: 2 other names
Description: Euryarchaeota archaeon tRNA-Arg
Rfam family: tRNA
About the family: Transfer RNA (tRNA) molecules are approximately 80 nucleotides in length. Their secondary structure includes four short double-helical elements and three loops (D, anti-codon, and T loops).
Source: RNAcentral
GGACCCAUAGUGUAGUCUGGAUAUCACACGAGCUUGCGGAGCUUGUAACCCGUGUUCGAAUCGCGGUGGGUCCGCCA